AAACAAGUCACGUGUAAGCUUAGUACCCAGAGAGGACUACCAUUAGCUUUUUGUUUUCUUUCUUGUUUUAAUAACUUUAAAAAUUUUGUAAUUUUUUUCUCUUUGCAUUUAUUUUUAUUUGUGAAAUUGAAUAAUUUUUUUAUGGUAAUAGAAACAGAUAGCAUUUACUGAUUUACUUCCUCUGGGCCCAGGAAUUCUGCAAAGCUGUUGAAUGCACCUUUUAAUUUGGUAUUGACAUAGAAACAGUCACGGUCCUCUUUUAUAUCCUGAAAUAGAAACCCCAGCUUUGAUGGCAGAGUUCUUAGAAGGGGCAAGAAGUGGUCACUGCUGCCCUCCCCAUUUUUCAAUUGAGAAAAAGGACACUCGACUCCCUGCCCCUGGAACACCUAGGUGGGUGCCUGUAUUUGAAGCCAUCUCAGUGUGUUGAGGAUUUUUUCCCAGUGUCUACAGUACUUUUCCUGGCUCUCUGGUGUUCUCAGGUCUGUCUUCCGGGCUUUCUGCUCAUGCCGACAGCAGAUCUGUCUUCAGAAAGAAGCUCGGAUCACUGGAUUCCUGCUCAGGGUAUUUUUCUGUGCUGCGUCCUCCUCCAGCUAAGACUCCACCGUCUGGGAGGACGGGAGUGGUGUUAUCUGCUUCCAGAAAGUGCACACUUGUCUCAACCAUUUUGGAACUAAAGCCUGAGAUUUGGCUAGAACUCCACAAGAUUGCAAUCCGGCUGACAAUAUGUGUGUGGGUUCCUCUUCACACUCCCAAGCGGGUCGCCCAGUAUCCUUAUGCAGGAGGCAACGGGAGCAUUUUCACCACUUUAAGAUAGAGGCAGUUAUUUAAAACUAUUUGCUUUUCCAAUAAGACAUUUGUCCUAGGAAAAACUAUUUGCACGUGGGGACACACACCCACACACAC
RNAcentral lists this long non-coding RNA (903 nucleotides) under Marmota monax (woodchuck). Lineage: Eukaryota; Metazoa; Chordata; Mammalia; Rodentia; Sciuridae. The record is from RNAcentral.